UUGGUUAGUGGCAGACGGGUGAGUAAUGCAUAGGAAUCUACCUAGUAGUAUGGGAUAGCCACUGGAAAUGGUGGGUAAUACCGUAUAAUCCCCGCGGGGGAAAGAUUUAUCGCUAUUAGAUGAGCCUAUGUCGGAUUAGCUAGUUGGUGGGGUAAUGGCCUACCAAGGCAGUGAUCUGUAGCUGGUCUGAGAGGAUGAUCAGCCACACUGGAACUGAGACACGGUCCAGACUCCUACGGGAGGCAGCAGUGGGGAAUAUUGGACAAUGGGCGCAAGCCUGAUCCAGCUAUGCCGCGUGAGUGAGGAAGGCCUUAGGGUUGUAAAACUCUUUCAGUAGGGAAGAUAAUGACGGUACCUA
RNAcentral lists this ribosomal RNA (358 nucleotides) under Anaplasma phagocytophilum. RNAcentral's name for it is "bacterial SSU rRNA". It matches the Rfam family "Bacterial small subunit ribosomal RNA", at positions 88 to 481 of the family's 1533-position model. The record is from RNAcentral. Lineage: Bacteria; Pseudomonadati; Pseudomonadota; Alphaproteobacteria; Rickettsiales; Anaplasmataceae.